UACCAGCACCCCGAGUGGUCGGGACGAUUAUUGGGCCUAAAGCAUCCGUAGCCGGUCCUGCAAGUCUUCCGUUAAAUCCACCUGCUUAACAGAUGGGCCGCGGAAGAUACUAUAGAGCUAGGAGGCGGGAGAGGCAAGCGGUACUCGAUGGGUAGGGGUAAAAUCCGUUGAUCCAUUGAAGACCACCAGUGGCGAAGGCGGCUUGCCAGAACGCGCUCGACGGUGAGGGAUGAAAGCUGGGGGAGCAAACCGG
RNAcentral lists this ribosomal RNA (253 nucleotides) under uncultured bacterium. RNAcentral's name for it is "partial 16S ribosomal RNA". It matches the Rfam family "Archaeal small subunit ribosomal RNA", at positions 474 to 727 of the family's 1478-position model. The record is from RNAcentral.